Molecule: non-coding RNA, 102 nt
Organism: Fusarium torreyae
Lineage: Eukaryota; Fungi; Ascomycota; Sordariomycetes; Hypocreales; Nectriaceae
Source: the annotation of a GenBank genome assembly
GAUAACGUGUCCGAGUGGUUAAGGAGAUAGACUUGAAACGUCUAUAAGACAACUAGAUAUCUAUUGGCUUCGGCCUCGCAGGUUCGAAUCCUGUCGUUAUCG